Molecule: non-coding RNA, 91 nt
Organism: Daucus carota subsp. sativus
Lineage: Eukaryota; Viridiplantae; Streptophyta; Magnoliopsida; Apiales; Apiaceae
Source: Rfam
CGCAAUCUAUGAUGAAUGUAUGUUCUAUAACAAAAUGAGUUAAUCCUGUGAUUAAUAUUAAAUAUAUCACCAUCUUUCGGCUGAGAUUGCA